AGAGUUUGAUCCUGGCUCAGGAUGAACGCUGGCGGCGUGCCUAAUACAUGCAAGUCGAGCGAACCACUUCGGUGGUGAGCGGCGAACGGGUGAGUAACACGUAGGUGAUCUGCCCAUCAGACGGGGACAACGAUUGGAAACGAUCGCUAAUACCGGAUAGGACGAAAGUUUAAAGGUGCUCUUGGCACCGCUGAUGGAUGAGCCUGCGGCGCAUUAGCUAGUUGGUAGGGUAAAGGCCUACCAAGGCGACGAUGCGUAGCCGACCUGAGAGGGUGAACGGCCACACUGGGACUGAGACACGGCCCAGACUCCUACGGGAGGCAGCAGUAGGGAAUCUUCGGCAAUGGGCGAAAGCCUGACCGAGCAACGCCGCGUGAAUGAUGAAGGCCUUCGGGUUGUAAAAUUCCGUUAUAAGGGAAGAACGACUUUAGUAGGAAAUGGCUAAAGUGUGACGGUACCUUAUGAGAAAGCCACGGCUAACUACGUGCCAGCAGCCGCGGUAAUACGUAGGUGGCAAGCGUUAUCCGGAAUUAUUGGGCGUAAAGAGCGCGCAGGUGGUUGAUUAAGUCUGAUGUGAAAGCCCACGGCUUAACCGUGGAGGGUCAUUGGAAACUGGUCGACUUGAGUGCAGAAGAGGGAAGUGGAAUUCCAUGUGUAGCGGUGAAAUGCGUAGAGAUAUGGAGGAACACCAGUGGCGAAG
RNAcentral lists this ribosomal RNA (700 nucleotides) under uncultured bacterium. RNAcentral's name for it is "bacterial SSU rRNA". It matches the Rfam family "Bacterial small subunit ribosomal RNA", at positions 8 to 720 of the family's 1533-position model. The record is from RNAcentral.